Molecule: transfer RNA, 72 nt
Filed under: Toxocara canis (dog roundworm)
Lineage: Eukaryota; Metazoa; Nematoda; Chromadorea; Rhabditida; Toxocaridae
Rfam family: tRNA
About the family: Transfer RNA (tRNA) molecules are approximately 80 nucleotides in length.
Source: Rfam by way of RNAcentral
AGGGCAGUGGCUCAGUAGUAGAGCUCCCGCUUCGUAUGCGGGAAGACCUGGGUUCAAUUUCUGGCUGCUUAC